RNAcentral lists this ribosomal RNA (1372 nucleotides) under uncultured bacterium. RNAcentral describes it as "bacterial SSU rRNA". It matches the Rfam family "Bacterial small subunit ribosomal RNA", at positions 28 to 1381 of the family's 1533-position model. The record is from RNAcentral.
GAUGAACGCUGGCGGCGUGCCUAAUACAUGCAAGUCGAGCGAACGGACGAGAAGCUUGCUUCUCUGAUGUUAGCGGCGGACGGGUGAGUAACACGUGGAUAACCUACCUAUAAGACUGGGAUAACUUCGGGAAACCGGAGCUAAUACCGGAUAAUAUUUUGAACCGCAUGGUUCAAAAGUGAAAGACGGUCUUGCUGUCACUUAUAGAUGGAUCCGCGCUGCAUUAGCUAGUUGGUAAGGUAACGGCUUACCAAGGCAACGAUGCAUAGCCGACCUGAGAGGGUGAUCGGCCACACUGGAACUGAGACACGGUCCAGACUCCUACGGGAGGCAGCAGUAGGGAAUCUUCCGCAAUGGGCGAAAGCCUGACGGAGCAACGCCGCGUGAGUGAUGAAGGUCUUCGGAUCGUAAAACUCUGUUAUUAGGGAAGAACAUAUAUGUAAGUAACUGUGCACAUCUUGACGGUACCUAAUCAGAAAGCCACGGCUAACUACGUGCCAGCAGCCGCGGUAAUACGUAGGUGGCAAGCGUUAUCCGGAAUUAUUGGGCGUAAAGCGCGCGUAGGCGGUUUUUUAAGUCUGAUGUGAAAGCCCACGGCUCAACCGUGGAGGGUCAUUGGAAACUGGAAAACUUGAGUGCAGAAGAGGAAAGUGGAAUUCCAUGUGUAGCGGUGAAAUGCGCAGAGAUAUGGAGGAACACCAGUGGCGAAGGCGACUUUCUGGUCUGUAACUGACGCUGAUGUGCGAAAGCGUGGGGAUCAAACAGGAUUAGAUACCCUGGUAGUCCACGCCGUAAACGAUGAGUGCUAAGUGUUAGGGGGUUUCCGCCCCUUAGUGCUGCAGCUAACGCAUUAAGCACUCCGCCUGGGGAGUACGACCGCAAGGUUGAAACUCAAAGGAAUUGACGGGGACCCGCACAAGCGGUGGAGCAUGUGGUUUAAUUCGAAGCAACGCGAAGAACCUUACCAAAUCUUGACAUCCUUUGACAACUCUAGAGAUAGAGCUUUCCCCUUCGGGGGACAAAGUGACAGGUGGUGCAUGGUUGUCGUCAGCUCGUGUCGUGAGAUGUUGGGUUAAGUCCCGCAACGAGCGCAACCCUUAAGCUUAGUUGCCAUCAUUAAGUUGGGCACCCUAAGUUGACUGCCGGUGACAAACCGGAGGAAGGUGGGGAUGACGUCAAAUCAUCAUGCCCCUUAUGAUUUGGGCUACACACGUGCUACAAUGGACAAUACAAAGGGCAGCGAAACCGCGAGGUCAAGCAAAUCCCAUAAAGUUGUUCUCAGUUCGGAUUGUAGUCUGCAACUCGACUACAUGAAGCUGGAAUCGCUAGUAAUCGUAGAUCAGCAUGCUACGGUGAAUACGUUCCCGGGUCU